UUGACCUCAAAUCAAGCAAGACUACCCGCUGAACUUAAGCAUAUCAAUAAGCGGAGGAAAAGAAACUAACAAGGAUUCCCCUAGUAACUGCGAGUGAAGCGGGAAAAGCUCAAAUUUAAAAUCUGACAGUGGUUUCACUGUCCGAAUUGUAAUCUAGAGAAGUGUUGCUCACACUGGA
This 178-nucleotide ribosomal RNA is filed under the name Amanita javanica. Its description in RNAcentral is "partial 28S ribosomal RNA". It matches the Rfam family "Eukaryotic large subunit ribosomal RNA", at positions 1 to 174 of the family's 3401-position model. Lineage: Eukaryota; Fungi; Basidiomycota; Agaricomycetes; Agaricales; Amanitaceae. The record is from RNAcentral.